RNAcentral lists this ribosomal RNA (676 nucleotides) under uncultured euryarchaeote. Its description in RNAcentral is "bacterial SSU rRNA". It matches the Rfam family "Archaeal small subunit ribosomal RNA", at positions 217 to 897 of the family's 1478-position model. The record is from RNAcentral. Lineage: Archaea; Methanobacteriati; Methanobacteriota.
GCGGCGGAUUAGGUAGUUGGCGGGGUAACGGCCCGCCAAGCCGAAGAUCCGUACGGGCCAUGAGAGUGGGAGCCCGGAGAUGGACCCUGAGACAAGGGUCCAGGCCCUACGGGGCGCAGCAGGCGCGAAACCUCCGCAAUGCGGGAAACCGCGACGGGGCUAGCCGGAGUGUCCGCGCAACGCGCGGACUGUCGGGGUGCCUAAAAAGCACCCCACAGCAAGGGCCGGGCAAGGCCGGUGGCAGCCGCCGCGGUAAUACCGGCGGCCCGAGUGGCGGCCACUAUUAUUGGGCCUAAAGCGUCCGUAGCCGGUCUGGUAAGUCCCCCGGGAAAUCUGGCGGCUUAACCGUCAGACUGCCGGGGGAUACUGCCAGACUAGGGACCGGGAGAGGCCGAGGGUAUUCCCGGGGUAGGGGUGAAAUCCUGUAAUCCCGGGAGGACCACCUGUGGCGAAGGCGCUCGGCUGGAACGGGUCCGACGGUGAGGGACGAAGGCCUGGGGAGCGAACCGGAUUAGAUACCCGGGUAGUCCAGGCUGUAAACGAUGCGGACUAGGUGUCACCAGAGCUACGAGCUCUGGUGGUGCCGGAGGGAAGCCGUUAAGUCCGCCGCCUGGGAAGUACGGCCGCAAGGCUGAAACUUAAAGGAAUUGGCGGGGGAGCACAAGGGCGAAUUCCA